Globicephala melas (long-finned pilot whale) is the source of this 303-nucleotide non-coding RNA. The record is from RefSeq and is a predicted model, not a curated record. Lineage: Eukaryota; Metazoa; Chordata; Mammalia; Artiodactyla; Delphinidae.
CCCUGGUCCUCAGAGCCUUUGGGUUUGGACUGGAACCACACCACCGACUUUCCUGGGCCUCCAGCUUGCAGACAGCAGAUCAUGGGGCUUCUCGGUCUUCAAAAUCACAUUGAAACAUCCCACUCUGAAAUGAUUCUAGAUACUAAGAGGAGACAAAACAAAGCCCCAGCUCCACGAAGGGGCUGAAAAUAUCUAGACUGUAGAAGGACUCAGAACAUCCUCGUCCAUUCUCUUCAGGAUGUUUUAAUGAUUAUGAUGCAAUUACAGGUACAGUGUUUCCUUUUCCCUCUUGAAAGAAGUGGG